UUGAUGUGCGGCCGGUUGGCGACGCCGGCAGCCUCGCAGGCUGCCUGAAUACGCGCGAUGUUGCGUUCGACACGAUCCAUGUCGAU
This 86-nucleotide transfer RNA is filed under the name mine drainage metagenome. RNAcentral's name for it is "tRNA-Ala". The record is from RNAcentral.